UUCAACAAGGCAGGAGGAGCAGGAGGAGGAGCAAAGUGGGAGUGAGGGUGCUGAGGCAGAGGAAGACACCCCAGAAUCCCUAGAUGCAGGCAGCCAGGAGCUGUUCUCAAGCCAGGAGGACGGUAGCCAGUCGCAGCGGCCAGUGCUUGGGAAAGGACAAACACCAGAGGAGGUUCCCGAUAAGUGGCUUUUAUUUUGGGAAGGAAGUUAUUUGUGUGGGCUCUUGGGGCAAGGAGGGUUUGGGCUGCAUGCAUGCCUAGAUGCGGAAUAGGGCGACAAUGUGCUCUCUCACAUAGUAGUAAUCGACCUCAGUGAUCUCUUCAAAAGCUUCAUCCAGAAAUUGGGCAAUGCGCUUGUGCAGCUUUCUCGAGAGAGCCACUGUGGUCCUUGUCC
Molecule: long non-coding RNA, 393 nt
Organism: Dermochelys coriacea (leatherback sea turtle)
Lineage: Eukaryota; Metazoa; Chordata; Testudines; Dermochelyidae
Exons: 3
Source: RefSeq, a predicted model, not a curated record